Molecule: ribosomal RNA, 406 nt
Filed under: uncultured bacterium
Lineage: Bacteria
Description: partial 16S ribosomal RNA
Rfam family: Bacterial small subunit ribosomal RNA
Source: RNAcentral
AUUGAACGCUGGCGGCAGGCCUAACACAUGCAAGUCGAACGAGUGGCGGACGGGUGAAUAAUGUCUGGGACACUGCCUGAUGGAGGGGGAUAACUACUGGAAACGGUAUCUAAUCCCGUAUACUAUCAUGUGUGCCCAUAUGGGAUUAGCUUGUUGGUGGGGUAACGGCUCACCAAGGCGCCGAUCCCUAGCUGGUCUGAGAGGAUGACCAGCCACACUGGAACUGAGACACGGUCCAGACUCCUACGGGAGGCAGCAGUGGGGAAUAUUGCACAAUGGGCGCAAGCCUGAUGCAGCCAUGCCGCGUGUAUGAAGAAGGCCUUAGGGUUGUAAAGUACUUUCAGCGGGGAGGCGUUACCCGCAGAAGAAGCACCGGCUAACUCCGUGCCAGCAGCCGCGGUAAUUC